GAUGAACGCUGGCGGCGUGCCUAAUACAUGCAAGUCGAGCGAACGGACGAGAAGCUUGCUUUUCUGAUGUUAGCGGCGGACGGGUGAGUAACACGUGGAUAACCUACCUAUAAGACUGGGAUAACUUCGGGAAACCGGAGCUAAUACCGGAUAAUAUUUUGAACCGCAUGGUUCAAAAGUGAAAGACGGUCUUGCUGUCACUUAUAGAUGGAUCCGCGCUGCAUUAGCUAGUUGGUAAGGUAACGGCUUACCAAAGCAACGAUGCAUAGCCGACCUGAGAGGGUGAUCGGCCACACUGGAACUGAGACACGGUCCAGACUCCUACGGGAGGCAGCAGUAGGGAAUCUUCCGCAAUGGGCGAAAGCCUGACGGAGCAACGCCGCGUGAGUGAUGAAGGUCUUCGGAUCGUAAAACUCUGUUAUUAGGGAAGAACAUAUGUGUAAGUAACUGUGCACAUCUUGACGGUACCUAAUCAGAAAGCCACGGCUAACUACGUG
RNAcentral lists this ribosomal RNA (497 nucleotides) under uncultured bacterium. RNAcentral's name for it is "partial 16S ribosomal RNA". It matches the Rfam family "Bacterial small subunit ribosomal RNA", at positions 28 to 507 of the family's 1533-position model. The record is from RNAcentral.